GUAGGUGGCAAGCGUUGUCCGGAAUUAUUGGGCGUAAAGCGCGCGCAGGUGGUUUCUUAAGUCUGAUGUGAAAGCCCACGGCUCAACCGUGGAGGGUCAUUGGAAACUGGGGAACUUGAGUGCAGAAGAGGAAAGUGGAAUUCCACGUGUAGCGGUGAAAUGCGUAGAGAUGUGGAGGAACACCAGUGGCGAAGGCGACUUUCUGGUCUGUAACUGACACUGAGGCGCGAAAGCGUGGGGAGCAAACAGGAUUAGAUACCCUGGUAGUCCACGCCGUAAACGAUGAGUGCUAAGUGUUAGGGGGGUUUUCCGCCCCCCUUAGUGCUGCAGCUAACGCAUUAAGCACUCCGCCUGGGAGUACGGCCGCAAGGCUG
Molecule: ribosomal RNA, 374 nt
Filed under: uncultured organism
Description: partial 16S ribosomal RNA
Rfam family: Bacterial small subunit ribosomal RNA
Source: RNAcentral